GUAUUUUAUUAUAUAAAU
RNAcentral lists this small nuclear RNA (18 nucleotides) under Arabidopsis thaliana (thale cress). RNAcentral's name for it is "snRNA_01594". Lineage: Eukaryota; Viridiplantae; Streptophyta; Magnoliopsida; Brassicales; Brassicaceae. The record is from RNAcentral.